RNAcentral lists this small nucleolar RNA (138 nucleotides) under Ornithorhynchus anatinus (platypus). The record is from RNAcentral. Lineage: Eukaryota; Metazoa; Chordata; Mammalia; Monotremata; Ornithorhynchidae.
UCCCUCUCAGGGUCAUACCUGGAGAGUUUCCAGUACUCUGCCAGUCUUGGCUAUGGGAGGAAGAGUGAAGCAGAGGCAUACCCAUGCCAUUCUUAGCUUGGGCAGUGGUUAGCGAGUGGAAGGCAAUCUGCUACCAAG